GUGCUCACUUUGGCAGCACAUAUACUAAAACUGGAACGACACAGAGAAGAUUAGCAUGGCCCCUGCACAAGGAUGACAUGCAAAUUCGCGAAGCAUUCCAUAUUUUU
RNAcentral lists this small nuclear RNA (107 nucleotides) under Physeter macrocephalus (sperm whale). Lineage: Eukaryota; Metazoa; Chordata; Mammalia; Artiodactyla; Physeteridae. The record is from RNAcentral.